This 406-nucleotide ribosomal RNA is filed under the name uncultured bacterium. Its description in RNAcentral is "bacterial SSU rRNA". It matches the Rfam family "Bacterial small subunit ribosomal RNA", at positions 29 to 478 of the family's 1533-position model. The record is from RNAcentral.
AACGAACGCUGGCGGCAGGCCUAACACAUGCAAGUCGAACGCUCGUAGCAAUACGGGAGUGGCGCACGGGUGAGUAACGCGUGGGCACCUGCCCGGUGGUUUGGGAUAACCGUGGGAAACUGCGGCUAAUACCGGAUACGCCCCUAGGGGGAAAGAUUUAUCGCCAUCGGAUGGGCCCGCGUAGGAUUAGCUAGUUGGUGAGGUAACGGCUCACCAAGGCGACGAUCCUUAGCUGGUCUGAGAGGAUGAUCAGCCACACUGGGACUGAGACACGGCCCAGACUCCUACGGGAGGCAGCAGUGGGGAAUAUUGGACAAUGGGGGCAACCCUGAUCCAGCCAUGCCGCGUGAGUGAAGAAGGCCUUCGGGUUGUAAAGCUCUUUUGGCGGGGACGAUGAUGACGGUAC